AAUUACUGGGCGUAAAGCGCACGCAGGCGGUCUGUCAAGUCGGAUGUGAAAUCCCCGGGCUCAACCUGGGAACUGCAUUCGAAACUGGCAGGCUUGAGUCUUGUAGAGGGGGGUAGAAUUCCAGGUGUAGCGGUGAAAUGCGUAGAGAUCUGGAGGAAUACCGGUGGCGAAGGCGGCCCCCUGGACAAAGACUGACGCUCAGGUGCGAAAGCGUGGGGAGCAAACAGGAUUAGAUACCCUGGUAGUCCACGCCGUAAACGAUGUCUACUUGGAGGUUGUGCCCUUGAGGCGUGGCUUCCGGAGCUAACGCGUUAAGUAGACCGCCUGGGGAGUACGGCCGCAAGGUUAAAACUCAAAUGAAUUGACGGGGGCCCGCACAAGCGGUGGAGCAUGUGGUUUAAUUCGAUGCAACGCGAAGAACCUUACCUGGUCUUGACAUCCACAGAACUUUCCAGAGAUGGAUUGGUGCCUUCGGGAACUGUGAGACAGGUGCUGCAUGGCUGUCGUCAGCUCGUGUUGUGAAAUGUUGGGUUAAGUCCCGCAACGAGCGCAACCCUUAUCCUUUGUUGCCAGCGGUCCGGCCGGGAACUCAAAGGAGACUGCCAGUGAUAAACUGGAGGAAGGUGGGGAUGACGUCAAGUCAUCAUGGCCCUUACGACCAGGGCUACACACGUGCUACAAUGGCGCAUACAAAGAGAAGCGACCUCGCGAGAGCAAGCGGACCUCAUAAAGUGCGUCGUAGUCCGGAUUGGAGUCUGCAACUCGACUCCAUGAAGUCGGAAUCGCUAGUAAUCGUGGAUCAGAAUGCCACGGUGAAUACGUUCCCGGGCCUUGUACACACCGCCCGUCACACCAUGGGAGUGGGUUGCAAAAGAAGUAGGUAGCUUAACCUUCGGGAGGGCGCUUACCACUUUGUGAUUCAUGACUGGGGUGAAGUCGUAACAAGGUAACCGUAGGGGAACCUGCGGUUGGA
This 973-nucleotide ribosomal RNA is filed under the name Salmonella enterica. RNAcentral describes it as "bacterial SSU rRNA". It matches the Rfam family "Bacterial small subunit ribosomal RNA", at positions 549 to 1522 of the family's 1533-position model. Lineage: Bacteria; Pseudomonadati; Pseudomonadota; Gammaproteobacteria; Enterobacterales; Enterobacteriaceae. The record is from RNAcentral.